RNAcentral lists this ribosomal RNA (253 nucleotides) under uncultured bacterium. Its description in RNAcentral is "partial 16S ribosomal RNA". It matches the Rfam family "Bacterial small subunit ribosomal RNA", at positions 524 to 776 of the family's 1533-position model. The record is from RNAcentral.
UACGUAGGGUGCAAGCGUUAAUCGGAAUUACUGGGCGUAAAGCGUGCGCAGGCGGUUUUGUAAGCCAGAUGUGAAAUCCCCGGGCUUAACCUGGGAAUGGCAUUUGGGACUGCAAGGCUGGAGUGUGGCAGAGGAGACUGGAAUUCCUGGUGUAGCAGUGAAAUGCGUAGAUAUCAGGAGGAAUGCCGAUGGCGAAGGCAGGUCUCUGGGCUGACACUGACGCUCAUGCACGAAAGCGUGGGGAGCAAACAGG